RNAcentral lists this ribosomal RNA (403 nucleotides) under bacterium. RNAcentral's name for it is "partial 16S ribosomal RNA". It matches the Rfam family "Bacterial small subunit ribosomal RNA", at positions 355 to 776 of the family's 1533-position model. The record is from RNAcentral.
CGGGGAAUAUUGCACAAUGGGGGAAACCCUGAUGCAGCGACGCCGCGUGAACGAAGAAGGUAUUCGUAUCGUAAAGUUCUGUCCUAUGGGAAGAUAAUGACAGUACCAUAGAAGAAAGCUCCGGCUAAAUACGUGCCAGCAGCCGCGGUAAUACGUAUGGAGCGAGCGUUGUCCGGAAUUAUUGGGCGUAAAGGGUACGCAGGCGGUUUAAUAAGUCGAAUGUUAAAGAUCGGGGCUCAACCCCGUAAAGGCUUGGAAACUGGUAAACGUGAGUAGUGGUGAGGAAAGGGGAAUUCCCAGUGUAGUGGUGAAAUACGUUGAUGUUAGGAGGAAUACCAGUAGCGAAGGCGGCUUUCUGGACACAAACUGACGCUGAGGUACGAAAGCGUGGGGAGCAAACAGG